This 507-nucleotide ribosomal RNA is filed under the name uncultured bacterium. RNAcentral describes it as "bacterial SSU rRNA". It matches the Rfam family "Bacterial small subunit ribosomal RNA", at positions 8 to 561 of the family's 1533-position model. The record is from RNAcentral.
AGAGUUUGAUCCUGGCUCAGAGCGAACGCUGGCGGCAGGCUUAACACAUGCAAGUCGAGCGGACCUUUCGGGGUCAGCGGCGGACGGGUGAGUAACGCGUGGGAACGUGCCUUCCGGUUCGGAAUAACCCUGGGAAACUAGGGCUAAUACCGGAUACGCCCUUAUGGGGAAAGGUUUACUGCCGGAAGAUCGGCCCGCGUCUGAUUAGCUAGUUGGUGGGGUAACGGCCUACCAAGGCGACGAUCAGUAGCUGGUCUGAGAGGAUGAUCAGCCACACUGGGACUGAGACACGGCCCAGACUCCUACGGGAGGCAGCAGUGGGGAAUAUUGGACAAUGGGCGCAAGCCUGAUCCAGCCAUGCCGCGUGAGUGAUGAAGGCCUUAGGGUUGUAAAGCUCUUUUAUCCGGGACGAUAAUGACGGUACCGGAGGAAUAAGCCCCGGCUAACUUCGUGCCAGCAGCCGCGGUAAUACGAAGGGGGCUAGCGUUGCUCGGAAUCACUGGGCGU